CGCUCCGUAGCCAAGCGGUAUGGCGCCUCGCUCAUAACGAGGAGAGCGCAGGUUCGAGUCCUGCCGGAGCGA
This 72-nucleotide transfer RNA is filed under the name Microbacterium sp. 13-71-7. RNAcentral describes it as "tRNA-Met". It matches the Rfam family "tRNA". From Rfam's summary of the family: Transfer RNA (tRNA) molecules are approximately 80 nucleotides in length. Their secondary structure includes four short double-helical elements and three loops (D, anti-codon, and T loops). Lineage: Bacteria; Bacillati; Actinomycetota; Actinomycetes; Micrococcales; Microbacteriaceae. The record is from RNAcentral.